This 500-nucleotide ribosomal RNA is filed under the name uncultured bacterium. Its description in RNAcentral is "partial 16S ribosomal RNA". It matches the Rfam family "Bacterial small subunit ribosomal RNA", at positions 30 to 523 of the family's 1533-position model. The record is from RNAcentral.
AUUGAACGCUGGCGGCAGGCCUAACACAUGCAAGUCGAGCGGUAGAGAGAAGCUUGCUUCUCUUGAGAGCGGCGGACGGGUGAGUAAUGCCUAGGAAUCUGCCUGGUAGUGGGGGAUAACGUUCGGAAACGGACGCUAAUACCGCAUACGUCCUACGGGAGAAAGCAGGGGACCUUCGGGCCUUGCGCUAUCAGAUGAGCCUAGGUCGGAUUAGCUAGUUGGUGGGGUAAUGGCUCACCAAGGCGACGAUCCGUAACUGGUCUGAGAGGAUGAUCAGUCACACUCGAACUGAGACACGGUCCAGACUCCUACGGGAGGCAGCAGUGGGGAAUAUUGGACAAUGGGCGAAAGCCUGAUCCAGCCAUGCCGCGUGUGUGAAGAAGGUCUUCGGAUUGUAAAGCACUUUAAGUUGGGAGGAAGGGCAGUAAAUUAAUACUUUGCUGUUUUGACGUUACCGACAGAAUAAGCACCGGCUAACUCUGUGCCAGCCGCCGCGGUAA